AGCGAACGCUGGCGGCAGGCCUAACACAUGCAAGUCGAACGCACCCUUCGGGGUGAGUGGCGGACGGGUGAGUAACACGUGGGAACGUGCCUUUUGGUUCGGAAUAACUCAGGGAAACUUGUGCUAAUACCGAAUGUGCCCUUCGGGGGAAAGAUUUAUCGCCAAAAGAGCGGCCCGCGUCUGAUUAGCUAGUUGGUGGGGUAAAGGCCCACCAAGGCUACGAUCAGUAGCUGGUCUGAGAGGAUGAUCAGCCACAUUGGGACUGAGACACGGCCCAAACUCCUACGGGAGGCAGCAGUGGGGAAUCUUGCGCAAUGGGCGAAAGCCUGACGCAGCCAUGCCGCGUGGAUGAUGAAGGUCUUAGGAUUGUAAAAUCCUUUCACCGGGGACGAUAAUGACGGUACCCGGAGAAGAAGCCCCGGCUAACUUCGUGCCAGCAGCCGCGGUAAUACGAAGGGGGCUAGCGUUGCUCGGAAUUACUGGGCGUAAAGGGAGCGUAGGCGGAUAGUUUAGUCAGAGGUGAAAGCCCAGGGCUCAACCUUGGAAUUGCCUUUGAUACUGGCUGUCUUGAGUAUGGGAGAGGUGUGUGGAACUCCGAGUGUAGAGGUGAAAUUCGUAGAUAUUCGGAAGAACACCAGUGGCGAAGGCGACACACUGGCCCAUUACUGACGCUGAGGCUCGAAAGCGUGGGGAGCAAACAGGAUUAGAUACCCUGGUAGUCCACGCUGUAAACGAUGAGUGCUAGUUGUCGGCAUGCAUGCAUGUCGGUGACGCAGCUAACGCAUUAAGCACUCCGCCUGGGGAGUACGGUCGCAAGAUA
RNAcentral lists this ribosomal RNA (820 nucleotides) under uncultured bacterium. RNAcentral describes it as "bacterial SSU rRNA". It matches the Rfam family "Bacterial small subunit ribosomal RNA", at positions 28 to 895 of the family's 1533-position model. The record is from RNAcentral.